AAUGCUUUAAAAUUCCUAGUAAUACAUUUUACAGUUCAAAGAAGGACAAAGUCAUAUCUAACAAAGAGUACUGUAUAUUGGUUCUCCCUUACCAUGAAAACCUUCUUGAUAUACCUUCUCUACUUAAGAAUUUUAAAAUCAAAAUUGUAUUUAAAAAACUUAGUAGAGUAAAAAAAAACUUCCAAUUAAAAAUUCCCCCCAAAAUAUUGAUGGCUGUGCAAGAUUCCCUUUAUAAAUGUAAUAAAAUUUACGGUCACUCUGGGAAAAGCCUUGAACUAAGACUACAUCAUAAAUAUAGCACUAGAAGUGGACAAGUCUAAUGCUCCAUUUACUCACGUGAGAGAUUUUUGACCAUCAAUUGGUUUUCAAAGGGCCGAGAAAGCUGUAUCAAGCAGGUCUAAGGUUGAAAUAUAAUUGAAUCGAGCUUCAUAAAAAACAGUUUUGAUUCUAAUAUGAAUAUUGGUUUAGGAUUAUACAAAUUAGAUUCGUUUAAAUUAAUAAAAUUUGGGAAGAAUUUAAGCUAUGACAAGUCCUCCACCAUCUCGACUGCAUCAUAAUAAGACUGACUGUGAGGUGAUAUCUUAGCCUUAUGUAGCUUCUGUUCUCUUAUUACAGAUCUUUGAUAAUGCGAGAAAUCACGAAAGUGCUUUAAAUUUCACUAAUUUUUCACAGUGGUGGUUCUGCAUGUUAUAUCACCUGUUAACUGUAAUAUUAUUGCAUAUAUGAAAAACCUCGCGUAAAAAGUUCUGUGCAUCUCUACCAUGGUCUCAAGUCCUCUUCAGCAGAUUACAGAGUAAUACACAUUUUGUAUAAUAGUUUGGGAAUGUACAGCUAUUAAUGAUAUAACUGAAGGUUCAUAUAAAAGAAAAGCCUAGAAGCACCAUUAAUCAGUUAAGAACUUAAACAUAUCAAAGGUACAGCUAUAAUCAGAUGUAAUAACCAGCUUUUUAUUAAAUAGUACUUCCCACAACCACGUUUAAUUGGGAAUUGCCACAUCAUUGCACCCUGUCUCCAAGUGGCUCGCUACCGCAACAAGAUGUCAUAUAAUUUAAAUAGAGCUUUGCCUUUUUAACGUGGACCACCAGUCCCAGAUGCUUACCAGAUUUCCCAGCCAAACUAACAUUUAUUUUGCUCACUUUUUUUUGUAUGCUGCUGAGGAGCACCUCGGACCGAGGUUGAAAUAUAGAGAACCAUUUCUUUUUGUUUUUGUCACUAUGCGAGUUGAUUUACUUUAUAGAAAAGUAUUCAUUGAACUUUGAUGUUCCACACAAUUAUGCAAAUAAAAACAUUACAGUGAAGCCUCACUUAUGGGGGAUAUGAUUGAGCAUCAGUGAUCUGAUAUUCAUUGAAACAACUCUUUUUACCAGACACAUUGGUAUUUUUUAUAUGAAAGUUAUAUUACCCAUGCCAUGGCAAACUUGUAUGGGUCAUUCAGCACAAGGAGUGGUGGCUUGAUCCUCUAUCCACUAAGAAUCCAACCAACAUUACUAACUGUACUGUCCUAGUUGUUUAUACGUAUUUUGAAAUGCAUAUUGCUUACAAAUUAGUCUUGCUAAUCUUAAAAUGAUGAGGUUAAGUUGUCCUUUUGACAUUUGGAGUGUGUAUUGGAGAGUUGGAAUGUGUAUUGAAUUGUGCAAUAGUGUUGGCAUGCAUGGGAGAAUGCAUUUACCAGUCAUUGCAGUAACUAAUCCACGGUGGCACAUGGCCUGGUGGCAAAAGUUCUCACUUCACAUGGUGAGAGUCCGGGUUCGAUUUCUGGCAAAGGGUGGAAAUAUUGGGCGUGUUUCCUUACACCUGUUAUCCAUGUUUAUCAUCAGUAAAACUGGGUACCUGGGUGUUAGUCGACUGGUGUGGGUCGCAUCCUGGGACAAAAUUUACCUAAUUUGCCCAAAAUGCUCUGCAUAACAAGCGGCUUUCUGUAUACUGUAGUAGAAGUGUCAUUGAUGUCAGCUAGGCUUGUAUACAUUGUACAUGUACUUGGAGAAAUAAAGAUAUUACUACCAAACACUUUUCUCAAGAGUGUCAGUGAUAACAAAUGUUGCUGUAAAUUUCUCUCCCAGUACUGAAUACCGUCGAGUUAGCUCCAAAUGUAGUCAUAGUCACCACUGAGGACUCCACACAGCAAAAGUGAUGACUGAUCAUAAGCAGGUCACAGUACAGUUGUACAGACAAUUCCAGUCCAAAGGAGACAAACUUAUGACUCGUGACAUUUCAGUCCAACUUGGACCAUUAACCCUUUCAGGGUCCACAGGCCCUCUCAGAGACUUGUUCUCAGGGUCCCCCCAAAUUUAAAAAAAAAAAAAAAAUUUCUGAUGAGAAGAUAGAGAAUCUUUUCCCGGUCAUAAUGACACCAAAAGUAUGAAAUUUGAUGGAAAACUUACGAAAUUAUGCUCUCGUGAAGUUAGCGGUCUCGACGAUGUUUACACAUCGGUGAUUUUGCUCACUUUGAGCCCUAUUUCCAGCCAAUUCCAGUGUAGUAGUCGACAAAAAUCAUAACUAUUUUGCUAGAACUCCAUUUUUUCUAUCGAAUGAGUACAAGAAACCACCCAUUUACCGAUUUCAACUAUCCAAUAAAGUGGUCAGAAUUUAGCAAUUUUGCUAAUUUCACACAAAUUUCAAAAGAUGCCAAUUUCCAAGUAGGGUCCAGAAUAAACAAGAAAGACAUUCCUGGCACUAAAAUAACAUUUCCUCUGUUCAUUAGUCACGUCCCCACGCCCCUCUUACAUUCUUUUGCUUUCCAUUAUGUAUUUUUAUUCUCACAAAAAAUAGAAGAUUUGCUGUUAUGCAGACUACUGCAUUAGUGUAGAAAUGGUAUAAAUAAUAUCGGCGCACUUGUGAAAGACUUACCAGUUGACGUGUAUUGGACGCUUAGCAUGAUUUCUUUACUUUUGAGCUUUGGUAAAAAUCGAACAUUUUUGCUACUUUGAGCUCAAUUUCAAGGUACUUUUCAUUGUAAAACCAGUCAAAAUCAUCUCAAUUUCUGUAAUAUGUCUUCCAUUCUAUAAAAUGAGACCAAGAAAACUAGAAUACAACAAUAAAUACCAUACGAAAAUACAGUGCAAAGUUGCGGUUUUAAUCCAAAAACACGGUCAGUUUUUUUUUCUCAUUACGCACUGUGUGCUGCAGGAUUUUUUUUUUUAUACUGUGGACACUGACCACAUAGACCCAUUCUUUCAUAUGUAGGCCUACCAUCUUUCACUAGAUUUGAAGGUGCUAUAAUUUUUGCGUACUAGUACGUCGAGGACCCUGGCACGUAAGCCGUACUAGUACGGCCGAAACCCUGAAGGGGUUAACUAUUCAUGCCUGUGACUAGUGAAUGGUCCAAAUUGGACCAAAAUGUCAUAAGUUUGUUUCCUAUGUGCUGGUUAUUUGUGUAUUGUUCCAGUCAUGGUAUUGUGCCUUUUUGUUCUUCAAUACCAGUGUGUGUGUCAUUGUGUGAUGACGUGUGGUGUAAGGUGGCGCCCUCCACACCACUCCUGGAAAUGGAAUGAAGGCCUCUUGAUCCAGGGAAUUGGAACUACCCUCCACUUGGAUCAAACCUGAUUAUCUCCAGAUGCUGUUUGAUCCCAAGUGAUUGGUCUGCUGGUCGUGGAUUAGCUCACAGCAAGAAUGAGAGACCUGAAAUUUCUGGUGUUGUACAACCUGAUUCCAACUAGUAAGUGUCUCGUCAUGGCUGCUUCCAAGUCCCUUACAGCACCUUCAUCACUGCGAGUUGGCGGUGCAACUGUAGCAGUAGGUGAUGAUUCUAAAGGUGUGGUGGUCAUCAUUGGUGUGGCUCUGGCAUGAGGUGUGCCUGGAGUUGAUACUGGUGGCUCAGAAACACGACCAGGGGAUGGUGCUCCUUCACAACCACCUCCCGAGUCCUCUGUAACGUCAGCAUUCCCCAUCGGAGUCAACAGGCCGCCAGGGGCCUGCAACACAAGUUUUAUCAGACAAAAGUUUUUAAAAUAAUGUUUAAUUAUAUUGUGAAUAAUAUAUUUACUUAAUUAUUUUGUGUACACAAGCUAUAUUUCAGACUGAAUAAUUUGUGCACAAUAAGAACUGUGAAAGAUACUCCUAAUAUGUCACAAAAAAGUUAGUCUGUUAGUAUAUUAGUAAUCACCAGGCAUGGAUUAGCAAGGAUUAGUAAUACAGUAAAUAUCUUACAAACUACAAAGCAUAUUAGAUUAAGCUUAGAGAUGCAACCAAUUUUACCCUUGUAAACCACUUCCUAAGGCAUUUUUUAACAUUGCAUAUUUUCUAUGUUGUAUCUUCUGAAAAUAUAUAAAGAAUUUCCACACAAAAAUGUCAGCCAGGCAUAGUUUAUUUUAUUUUACCAAGAUGUGUUACUAAACGAUAAUAGAACAAUCAGAAGUGUAUUAAAGAAUAAAUGCAUUACACAUU
Cherax quadricarinatus is the source of this 4383-nucleotide non-coding RNA. The record is from RefSeq and is a predicted model, not a curated record. Lineage: Eukaryota; Metazoa; Arthropoda; Malacostraca; Decapoda; Parastacidae.